Molecule: ribosomal RNA, 497 nt
Filed under: uncultured bacterium
Lineage: Bacteria
Description: partial 16S ribosomal RNA
Rfam family: Bacterial small subunit ribosomal RNA
Source: RNAcentral
GAUGUACGCUGGCGGCGUGCCUAAUACAUGCAAGUCGAGCGAACGGACGAGAAGCUUGCUUCUCUGAUGUUAGCGGCGGACGGGUGAGUAACACGUGGAUAACCUACCUAUAAGACUGGGAUAACUUCGGGAAACCGGAGCUAAUACCGGAUAAUAUUUUGAACCGCAUGGUUCAAAAGUGAAAGACGGUCUUGCUGUCACUUAUAGAUGGAUCCGCGCUGCAUUAGCUAGUUGGUAAGGUAACGGCUUACCAAGGCAACGAUGCAUAGCCGACCUGAGAGGGUGAUCGGCCACACUGGAACUGAGAUACGGUCCAGACUCCUACGGGAGGCAGCAGUAGGGAAUCUUCCGCAAUGGGCGAAAGCCUGACGGAGCAACGCCGCGUGAGUGAUGAAGGUCUUCGGAUCGUAAAACUCUGUUAUUAGGGAAGAACAUUUGUGUAAGUAACUGUGCACAUCUUGACGGUACCUAAUCAGAAAGCCACGGCUAACUACGUG